Gossypium arboreum is the source of this 74-nucleotide non-coding RNA. The record is from Rfam. NCBI's taxonomy places the organism in Eukaryota, Viridiplantae, Streptophyta, Magnoliopsida, Malvales, Malvaceae.
GGGAUUGUAGUUCAAUUGGUCAGAGCACCGCUCUGUCAAGGCGGAAGCUGCGGGUUCGAGCCCCGUCAGUCCCG